RNAcentral lists this transfer RNA (71 nucleotides) under Marmota monax (woodchuck). RNAcentral's name for it is "tRNA.Ala". The record is from RNAcentral. Lineage: Eukaryota; Metazoa; Chordata; Mammalia; Rodentia; Sciuridae.
GGGAUUGUGGCUCAGCGAUAGAGCGCUCCUCUAGCAUGUGGGAGGUCCUGGGUUCGAUCUUCAGCAACUCA